AGGAAAGAAUCAACAUCAGCAGGCUGGCCUCUGCCUCCAUACGCAUGCCACAGCAAGUAUGUACAAGCACAUAGAAAUAAAGAUGAUUUUUUAAUUUAAUGCUCGUUGAAUAAUGAAGCUGGAAACUAAAGAUUUUGUUCCUGUCUACCUAGGACCUGGGUUUAAUUCCCAGCACCAAAAAGCUGAGAAUUGACCAUAGAUUUUAGCAUGUAAAUGUCCAGUUUCACCACAUUGAUAGGAGUAAAAGACUAAUUGAGUAGGGUUAGGAGAGAAAGGAAAGGGGCUGCAAAGAUGGCUCAGUGGUUAAGAACGUGUGCUGCUCUUCCAGAGGACUUGAGUUCCAUUCCAGCACCAUGUCUCACAGUUGCCUGUAAGAUCAGCUGCAGAGGACAUGAUGCCCUCUGCUGGUCUCUUCAGGCAUGACACAUGUAGCAAACAUUUAUGUCUUAUUAAAAGGAAAGAAGAAUUGGAAGUAACAAAUAUAGGUGACUUUUACAGGCAUGUUUAAAUUCCUGACCCCUGUCUUGCCUCCCAAGUGUUGGGAUUAUAGGUCUGCAGCACUAUACUGGCUGUAAAAGUAUGUGCACAGUGAUACACACUUGUAGUCCCAGCUACUCUCUGAAGCUCAGAAGGCUAAGACAGAAAGAAGAACCAUUUAACCCAGGAGUUCAAGGCCAACUUACAUAACACAGCAAGACCUUGCUUCAUAAAAUGAAUGAGUGGGUGGGUAAGUGAGUGGAAAUGUUUCCCUGGUUCUUGCAUGUACAUCUUCUAUAGUAACUCUUGCUUUUCCAGCAGUUCACUAGAAACCAUUCCACUAAACUGAACAGCUCCCUUUCUCUUAUGCCUGACUAAUGUCUUCCACUCUCACCUGUCUGUCAAGUAUAACUAAUCUAUACUCUAUGGUUCUGACCUCUUAAUCAAGUAUUUAAUCCAGUAUUGCCAGUCUGUAGAGGAAGAGCGUAUGUGUCACAUCGACCUCAAGAUGUCCCAAAAUUAACCCUAGCUAAAGCCUCUCCUCUUGUUCUGUUUCUACACCAUCACUGCCCAGGCCUACAGUCUCAAGAGCUUGGAAUCAGGAAAUUAUGUCCCCAGAUCUGGUUGAGACCCUGUCUGCCUUGUUCUGUUCGUACUGAGAUAUAGUUGAGACCCUGCCUGCCUUGUCUGUCCACACUGGCUUUCUGCUGCUGCUUCGGUAUGCUGUCACCACUAAAGAAAGUUUUAGUUGUCUUCUUCUUGUUAUCUUUUUGUAACAAGAUUCUAAAUCAUUGGACUUCUCUGUUCACCCCAUCAGACCUUAGAUUUUCUUCCCAGGACUAACCUGGCCUCUUCUCAAUGUUCUCCUCGAUGUUAUCUUUCGCUUGGAGUUCUUGGUGUAUAAUGUUGUGUAAUUUCUCUUAAUAAUCCUUUCACCCGAAUUAGCCUGAAGGCGUAAUUGGGUAAGGUAUGUUGUGGGUUGAAAACCGCUUUAUGCCAUGUAGCAGUAGAUUGUAGCAGUGCUGGACCUUAAGUUUUGGAAUGCAGGCUUCAGGACACAAGGUAUACAAAUGUACUACUCUGUACUGCUGUGAUCACACAUAGAAAAUGAAGCAAUUGGAGACUGCAGAGGUCUUUGCCAGGCAGAGAUUCCUGCUCAGUACCAUUGGAUUCCAGCCUGACUCCUCCCACUCAUAAGGUCUUUUGUAAUCUAUAACUGAUAUGGAAGAUAGGUAAGGAGUUUUAAAAUAACUGGCCAAAAACAGUGGUGUAGAAAUUGGCCUUUAAAAGUAUACUCUGUCCUGUGACUUCAGUACCAUGCAUCUAACCAUGUGGUAUGACAGUCCCUGUGGCAUCGUUCAUGAUAAAAACAGUCCCCUACUAGAUGUAUGGAAAGAUCUGAAGAUACAUGGACAAGACCCGAAGAAAAACCCAGGCUAAGAAAAACAUCAGGACAGACACUGACUCCUGAGCCUGCCUUCUGCGUCUUGAGAGUACACUGGUGCUGUGCUCUGACAAACCUGUUAUUGUUGAGUUUCUUCUGUGUCUUUGAAUUCUUUCUCUAAGAUCAAAAACCUCUGGGAACUCUGGUCCAAUAACAUGACCGUACUAAGUCGCAUAAAAAAGUAUGUCCGGCUGUUUGAUAAGAUAAUCAGAUUGCACUCCUUGCUUUCCAUUUCCCACAAGUCAUUUCCAUUUGGGUUGUGUGUUCUUCUGUUCUUUCCACUUAAAAUAUGCUUUCUUCACUGCC
This 2227-nucleotide long non-coding RNA is filed under the name Mus musculus (house mouse). Its description in RNAcentral is "long non-coding RNA chr9:96028623-96030850". Lineage: Eukaryota; Metazoa; Chordata; Mammalia; Rodentia; Muridae. The record is from RNAcentral.